UGGGGUGUAGCCAAGUGGUUAAGGCACCGGUUUUUGAUACCGGUAACCCUGGUUCAAAUCCAGGCACCUCAG
The sequence is a transfer RNA, 72 nucleotides long. It matches the Rfam family "tRNA". From Rfam's summary of the family: Transfer RNA (tRNA) molecules are approximately 80 nucleotides in length.